Molecule: ribosomal RNA, 253 nt
Filed under: uncultured bacterium
Lineage: Bacteria
Description: partial 16S ribosomal RNA
Rfam family: Bacterial small subunit ribosomal RNA
Source: RNAcentral
UACGUAGGGGGCUAGCGUUGUCCGGAUUUAUUGGGCGUAAAGAGCGUGUAGGCGGCCAGGUAGGUCUGCUGUGAAAACUCGAGGCUCAACCUCGAGAUGUCGGCGGAAACCAUCUGGCUAGAGUCCGGUAGGGGAGCGUGGAAUUCCUGGUGUAGCGGUGAAAUGCGCAGAUAUCAGGAGGAACACCAGCGGCGAAGGCGGCGCUCUGGGCCGGUACUAACACUGAGGAGCGAAAGCGUGGGUAGCAAACAGG